UACGUAGGGGGCAAGCGUUGUCCGGAAUCAUUGGGCGUAAAGAGCGUGUAGGCGGCCCGGUAAGUCCGCUGUAAAAGUCAAAGGCUUAACCUUUGAAUGUCUGUGGAUACUGCCGGGCUAGAGUCCGGAAGAGGAGAGUGGAAUUCCCGGUGUAGCGGUGAAAUGCGCAGAUAUCGGGAAGAACACCUAUGGCGAAGGCAGCUCUCUGGGACGGUACUGACGCUGAGACGCGAAAGCGUGGGGAGCGAACAGG
This 253-nucleotide ribosomal RNA is filed under the name uncultured bacterium. RNAcentral's name for it is "partial 16S ribosomal RNA". It matches the Rfam family "Bacterial small subunit ribosomal RNA", at positions 524 to 776 of the family's 1533-position model. The record is from RNAcentral.